UACGUAGGUGGCAAGCGUUGUCCGGAUUUAUUGGGCGUAAAGCGCGCGCAGGCGGUCCUUUAAGUCUGAUGUGAAAUCUUGCGGCUCAACCGCAAGCGGUCAUUGGAAACUGGGGGACUUGAGUACAGAAGAGGAAAGCGGAAUUCCACGUGUAGCGGUGAAAUGCGUAGAGAUCGGGAGGAACAUCAGUUGCGAAGGCGGCUCUCUGGACCAGCACUGACACUGAGGCACGAAAGCGUGGGGAGCAAACAGG
RNAcentral lists this ribosomal RNA (253 nucleotides) under uncultured bacterium. RNAcentral's name for it is "partial 16S ribosomal RNA". It matches the Rfam family "Bacterial small subunit ribosomal RNA", at positions 524 to 776 of the family's 1533-position model. The record is from RNAcentral.